GGAGGAUCCAAGCGUUAUCCGGAUUUAUUGGGUUUAAAGGGUGCGUAGGCGGCAGAUUAAGUUAGAGGUGAAAUUCCGAGGCUCAACCUUGGCACUGCCUCUGAUACUGGUUUGCUAGCGAGUAGAUGCUGUAGGCGGAAUGUGUGGUGUAGCGGUGAAAUGCAUAGAGAUCACACAGAACACCGAUUGCGAAGGCAGCUUACAAAUCUAUAUCGGACGCUGAGGCACGAAAGCGUGGGGAGCAAACAGGAUUAGAUACCCUGGUAGUCCACGCAGUAAACGAUGAUAACUCGUUGUCGGCGAUAUACAGUCGGUGACCAAGCGAAAGCGAUAAGUUAUCCACCUGGGGAGUACGUUCGCAAGAAUGAAACUCAAAGG
This 378-nucleotide ribosomal RNA is filed under the name uncultured bacterium. Its description in RNAcentral is "bacterial SSU rRNA". It matches the Rfam family "Bacterial small subunit ribosomal RNA", at positions 527 to 907 of the family's 1533-position model. The record is from RNAcentral.